Molecule: ribosomal RNA, 253 nt
Filed under: uncultured bacterium
Lineage: Bacteria
Description: partial 16S ribosomal RNA
Rfam family: Bacterial small subunit ribosomal RNA
Source: RNAcentral
UACGAAGGGGGCAAGCGUUGUUCGGAAUUACUGGGCGUAAAGGGUGUGUAGGCGGAUAAGUAAGAUAGGGGUGAAAUCCCGGGGCUCAACCUCGGAAUUGCCUUUAUUACUAUUUAUCUAGAGUGAUAGAGAGGAUAGCGGAAUACCCAGUGUAGAGGUGAAAUUCGUAGAUAUUGGGUAGAACACCGGUGGCGAAGGCGGCUAUCUGGCUAUUAACUGACGCUGAGGCACGAAAGCAUGGGGAUCAAACAGG